AAACCAUCCAAAUACCAUUCCAUCAAAAGAUAAUCAGAGUAUAAGUUUGAAGUUUCAAUUAAUUAUCAGAGUAAAAUCAUAAAAACAGAUAGUGUGGAAAUCUUUAGUAGAUGCGAUGCAAUCAAAUCGGACUAUUCCAUUUGCUACCUGAAACAUUUAAACUUAAACCGUAAGCACAAAGCUUAGUGAGUUUUCCUAGAUACCACAUAUAACAAAAUAACAAUGGGUCUGGUCCUAGGGGUAUAUUGAUGGGUUUUCUAUGUUAAACAAAAACAACAUAUUUAUGUAGCGAAAUCAUAAAACUAUUUUAUGGGCACAUGCAACCUAAAGAUCUAUGACAUUUUUUCAUUAUAGCAACAUACUAAGUAAAACCGAUCUAAUCAAUUUAUAUGUAAGAACAAAUAAGACUAAUAACAUACCUUGAACUGUAGUCGGAUACACUUACUCCUUGGAUAUUCAAUAGCUCAUGGAAAGUAAGCGCCAGAAGCAUGUCUCUAAUGACUCACACCCAAAACCUUAGAACACUAGAAAUCGAAAGGGGGAGGAGGAAAGAAGUGAAAUUCAUAUUUCAUUCUUCUUGAUAUUAUUAUCAACGAAAAUUAGAUGCUAAUGGAAGGUAUUUAUGUAACGCCUGUGUUUCGGGCUUGCCAUUUUUAGCAAUGUAAUAGUCUAGGUUAACCUUUGUAACCCGUUUUGAAAUAAUAAUAAUGUAUUAUUUGAGUAUUAUGUGUUUUGUGCUUAAUUGCUUAAUUAUGUGGUUUGAUUAAUUAAGAAUAAAAAUAAGCGUCAAAAUUUAAGUGUAAAAUAAACUUAAUAUAUUUGGUUAAUGUUGUAGUAAUUGAAACGAGGUUUCCGAAUAUAUAUAGAACGCCCAAAUCUGACUUCGUAUGAGGAAGUUAUGAUUUAUCGAAGUUCCGGCUUAGCGGUAUACAGCCUGUUUUACUCGAUUUGAGAUCGAGCGGUUGUUAGCCGAAGCAAUCUAAAUGAGAAUCGAAGAUCUCAUUGUUGGUAUCGAAGCGAUAAAAAGUUAGGCAAGAACGGACGUCAAACGAAGAAGUUAUGAAUUUAUAACGAAGUUUUUCUGUCGCGGCCUAUUAAAAAUAAAUAAUAAAAAUAAAAUCAAAAUUAGCCGACGGAGUCUAAACGAAAGUCGUAGAGCGUGGUCUCACCUUCCCGUGGAUAUAAAGAACGUCGAAAACGGAGUUCGUAUGAAGAAGUUAUGAAUUUCCGAAGUUUAUUAAUCAUUUUGUAUUUAUAUUUAAAUCAAAAUUCGGAAGCAUUAUCCGAAGGAGUCACCGAUCUGAUCCGAGGUACGCCCCGCGUACUCCGAGGGAUGUCGACACUCGCACUCGAGCACUUCGGAUACGUAAGCAAUGACGUUUUGGGCAGUACGCCCCGCGUAACGCAGUACGCCCCGCGUACUCCGAGGCUCCAGCCUCCUAUAAAUAGGAUGCGAGGGUUCCGGGUAUUUUUGCCAAUUCCCUCUCGUUUUCGUGUCGAAGCUCUGCGCAAAAACCCCCGAAGCUACCCCGAAGUCCCGGUAUCAUACUCUAGCCCCGAGGCAAGUCCCGAGAUCCCGAAGAUCCCGAAAAGUGCGGUUCCCGAGUCGAAGCUCUGCCCGCGAGAAGUUCGAUUUUCGAGGAGAUCUUCCAGAUCUGCUGUGGAUUACUACUUCUAUAAGCCGUAGUGCUGUCCGAUCAUCUUCUGAUCAAGUGAGUGUGUAGUUAUUUCUUCUAAUACAAUAAUACGAAGUAUUUUAUAUAAAAAUACGUGCUAUGUGUAUAUAUUUGGUUGUGUUAUGUGUGAAUGAGUAUUCACUCUCUUCUAUCUUAUAGAUCUGCUUAUUUCUUUAUGAGAUAUGUGUUAUGUGUGUGUGUGCCUCAUCUGUUAUGUGAUAUAUGUGUUGAUUAAAGCAUGCUAUACAGGUUUUCUUUAAACUAUGUAUACAAAUGUAUAUUUUUAUCUACUAAUAUGUUGGGUAGAACAUGGGUAGACAGUUGGUGUGUAAUAAACAGAUGAGAGGCCUCGUUGUUGUUUGAUUGAGUCAUCUAGCGGAGUUUAGAUGACGACCACUGGCUAUUCUAGACAGUCUUGUGGAAACAUUAGCAGGUUCGCCACCUGUAGGUGUUAAUGAACUUGGGUGUUCAUUCGCUGUACUCCAUCCCCCUCAUGGUUGCCUUAUUUGACUUAUAUUGCUGAGGUACCCCCGAAGCAUGUGUUGUCGCCCCGAUGAAAUAUUCUUAGACUAGGUCCCUUAUGUUAGUUGUUUUAGGGACAUUAAAGUGAGAAUAACGGGAAUGGGUAAUUGGGUUAUUGUUGGUUGGUGAAAAUUAAAUAUGAUAUUUAUUGUGGGUUGAAAACCCUAUAUGCUCACCAGGCUCCCAAGCCUGACCCACUCAGUUUUAAAUUGUAUUACAGGUAGUGGCGGAAGGGCAUGAGAUGGAUGAACCAUCAAGUUGUUUUGUUUACAAGUCUGCAUAUGUUUAUAUUUGUUAUAUGACUUGUAAUGUAUUCGUUUAUGCUUAUUGGUCUGUAUCGGAACAUGACACCCCGAGUUUUGAUUAUAAUGAAAAUACAUUUCUUUUAUGAAAUGCUUCGGUAAACAAUGUUUUAUCAUGUUUUGUUUUUGGGAACAAAUUCCGCAACUCUUUCAAAUCAAAAGGAUUUACUCUGAAAAUAUUUAAAAGCAUAAAUGAAAAUCGGUCUUUUCUGGCCGAGAUUUUGGGGAUGUCACAGUUGGUAUCAGAGCAUUAGUUUAAGCGAACUAGGAAUUUGUAGGAUUUCUAGACUUAAACUUAGAAUGCUAAGUGAAGUUUUGAGAUGUGUGUCUGUUGUGAUUUAGACACGAGCACUAGUUUAUUUUAGGAAAGUUGCCUAAAAUGCUUUAUGUGCUAAAUGUUAUAUGUUGCCAUAUAUGAUAUUAUUUGUUCGGAUCUAUGGUCUGUUGCCGACCGGAUCUAGAAACCUUAUGUGUGUAGGAUUCUAAGCGUACGUCUACGAUAUUAGAACUAGCAUGUAAACGUUUCGGAGUGAUAAGGAUGAUUUGAAUAUCUAUCAUGAUUGAGGAUCUAAUUUCACCUUAUUCGGUGUAGAUCAAAAUGGUGAGAACAAGAAGUGGAGUUGGAAAUGCUGACGAAAACAGGAAUCAACCACCAGUGAUUGAGCCAAUACCUGUCGUAGCAGCAGCACCUGAGCCAAUAACCAUGGCUGGUGUGCAAUUGAUGAUUCAGACGAUGUUGGAUCGUCAGAUGGAUGAAACUAGACGGUUGCUUCAACAAAAUCGUGAAGAACUGUCGAUUCGUGUGGAAGAGCCUGAACUGAAUGAAGGGCACUCGGAAGGUGGAAACUUCAGUGGGUCUGUUGGUCCAGCCAACCCACCGAUAGUUAGGCAAGAUAACCAUGAUGGAAGGAAUGAUGGAAUGGGAUGCAAGUACAAGGACUUUUUGACUUGUAAACCAUCGACCUUCAAUGGAAAGGAGGAUCCGAUUGGGGUUAUGGAUUGGAUCUCCGAAAUGGAGUUAGCCUUUAUGACAUGUGGCUGUAGAGGCAAGUUGCAGACUAUCUAUGCCGUGCGACAAUUCCGAGGUGGAGCCGUUCGUUGGUGGAACACUCUAGGGAAGACCUUAAGCCCUAAUGAGCCACUGCAAUUGUCAUGGGCAGAGUUCUUGGUGCAGUUCAAGCGCAAGUUCUGCUCGGCUCAAAAUCUGUUGGAGUUGGAGAACAAGUUUUUGACAUUGACGAAGGGUAGCAUGUCAGUGGAUGAGUACACCAAUAACUUCACCGAUAAGAUGGAGUUUGCCUUGCGUAUCGUUCCAGACGAGCUGACAAAGGUGGAUCGGUAUGCGAAGGGACUUCCAUGGGAGUACGAGGUGCCGGUACGUCAGGCACUUACUCUAGAGGCAGCUAUCUGGGCUGCCAAGUCUGUGGAGAACAUGAUCAAGGGGAGAACCACCGUCAAGGUUGAGGUUGGUGAGAAAAGGAAGUUUGAAGGAACAUCUGGUUCCAGUAAGAAGAGCAAAUUUUCGAAAUCUGAUUCGAAAAAGUUUGGAGGAAAAGGAGGCGAAGCAAAGUGGUGUGAUAAGUGUAAGAAAAAGCACUUUGGGAAAUGUAGCGAGGAUGUGACCUGCUACAAGUGUGGAAAGGUUGGACAUUUUGCCAAUGAAUGUCCGAACAACAAAAGGAUGUGUUUUGGGUGUAAUGAAGAGGGGCAUAUUUUGAAAGACUGUCCGAAGAAGAAGGAGGCAGCUAGGCCCAACAUUCCACCAAAGCCGAAGGCGAGAGCCUUCCAGAUGACACUUGAGGCUGCGAAAGAUGAAGCUGAUGUCGCUUCAGGUACCUUUCUCGUAAACGAAUUACCUGCUCAUAUAUUGUUUGAUUCUGGAGCCAACUACUCCUUUAUUUCGCAUGAGUUUGGUAGAAAGCUAGCUUUGCCUGUUGAUAGACUAGAUAAUGCUUUAUUAGUCGAAGUAGCUAGUGGCAAGUUUGUACCUGUUAGCCAUCGUAUGAAAAACGUCUUGAUCGACCUUAAUGGGAAUAAGUUUCUCGAGGAAUUAUUGCCUAUCGAACUAAAUGGUUUCGACAUCGUCUUGGGAAUGGAUUGGCUUAGCGCCAAUGAUGCCGAAAUUUUGUGCAAGAAGAAGAUAGUUAAAGUAAACCCGCCUGGGAAAGAUUCGUUUAUGGUGUAUGGGGACAAACGCAGAGUGAAUUCUGGAAUCAUUUCUCUAAUGAAAGCCAGAAAGUGUUUGACCAAGGGAUGUACAUCAUAUUUAGCAUUCGUGAUUGAUGCUAAGAAAGAAAAGAAGGUGAUGCAGAGCAUUCCAGUGGUGUGUGAUUAUCCGGAAGUAUUUCCCGAGGAUCUUCCUGGAUUACCACCUGAUAGACAAGUGGAGUUCAGAAUAGACUUGUUACCAGGAACCACGCCAAUAGCAAAAGCACCUUAUCGAUUAGCACCGACGGAGAUGAAGGAGCUGAUGAUGCAACUUCAGGAGUUAUUGGACAAAGGUUUCAUUAGACCUAGUUCAUCGCCCUGGGGAGCUCCGGUGUUAUUUGUAAAGAAGAAAGAUGGAAGUAUGAGAAUGUGCAUCGAUUACAGAGAGCUGAACAAGGCAACAAUAAAGAAUAGAUAUCCGUUGCCGAGGAUUGAUGACCUGUUUGAUCAAUUGCAAGGUUCGAGCUAUUUCUCGAAGAUCGAUCUUAGGUCAGGAUAUCAUCAGCUGAAAGUAAGAGAGCAAGAUAUCGAGAAGACUGCAUUCAGAACUAGAUAUGGACACUACGAGUUCUUGGUUAUGUCGUUUGGACUAACCAAUGCUCCAGCAGCGUUCAUGGAUUUGAUGAAUAGGGUUUGUAAUCCUUUCCUUGAUAAAUCCGUGAUAGUGUUCAUAGACGACAUUCUGAUCUACUCGAAAAGCCAGGAGGAGCAUGGCAGACACUUGCGAGAAGUGUUAGAAGUUUUGAAGAAGGAGAAGCUUUAUGCGAAGUUCUCCAAAUGUGAUUUUUGGAUUCGUGAGGUCCAAUUCUUGGGUCACGUGGUCAACCAAGAAGGGAUAAUGGUUGAUCCAGCGAAGAUCGAAGCUGUGACGAAGUGGGAACAACCGAAAAGUCCCACGGAGAUUCGAAGCUUUUUAGGAUUAGCCGGAUAUUACCGAAGGUUUAUCCAAGGCUUUUCUUCGAUUGCUACUCCAUUAACAGCUUUGACCCACAAAGGAGCUACUUAUGCUUGGAGUGAGAAGCAUAAAGAAGCAUUCGAGAAGUUAAAGAAGAAGCUAUGCGAGGCACCGAUACUUUCUCUACCCGAUGGAGUUGAAGACUUCGCUGUUUAUAGCGAUGCGUCUGGUGUUGGAUUGGGUUGUGUUUUGACCCAAAGAGAAAAGGUGAUAGCAUAUGCGUCUCGACAGCUGAAAGAGCAUGAAAAGAAUUACCCGACUCAUGAUUUGGAGUUGGCAGCGGUAGUUUUCGCUCUGAAAAUAUGGAGGCAUUACCUCUAUGGCACGAAGUGCAAACUUUUCACUGAUCAUAAGAGUCUCCAAUACCUCUUUAAUCAGAAAGAAUUGAAUAUGAGGCAACGACGCUGGCUAGAAUUACUUAAAGACUACGACUGCGAGAUACUUUACCACCCCGGUAAAGCUAAUGUUGUUGCUGAUGCUCUCAGUCGGAAAGUCAAUCUUGAAAGGAAGAGGCCAAGAGCGUUGAGAAUUGAAGUUGUCUCGACUAUUGUGGAAAGUAUAAAGAAAGCUCAAGAGGAAGCUUCUGAGAAAAAUGACCGAAAGGAGGAACGUUUGGGUAAAACGUUGGUGUUUGGUACUAACGGUCAUGGACUGAAGGUAUUCCAAGAUCGUAUUUGGGUACCUAAGUCAGGAGGAAUUAGGGAUCUUCUGAUGGAAGAAGCUCACAAAACCAUGUACUCAAUUCAUCCGGGUAGCACUAAAAUGUAUAGGGACCUGAAACCCUACUACUGGUGGCCGACGAUGAAGCUUGAUGUUGCAAAGUAUGUGGCCGAGUGUGUGACUUGUGCGAGAGUCAAGACACAACAUCAGAAACCUUACGGGAGUUUAGAACCAUUGCCUGUGCCUAUGGGUAAGUGGGAAGACAUUGCUAUGGAUUUUGUCACUAAACUGCCCAGAACAAAGAAUGGUCACGACAUGAUUUGGGUGGUCGUUGAUCGAUUCACUAAGAGUGCGCAUUUCAUAGCGGCCAGGGAGAAAUGGUCUAUGGAAAAGCUUGCGAAUUCUUACGUGAAGGAAAUUGUGAGGCUUCACGGUGUUCCGUUAACGAUUGUAUCGGAUCGUGAUAGCCGUUUCACCUCAAGGUUUUGGAAAAGUCUACAAGAGGAAAUGGGUACCAAGUUAUGUUUAAGCACAGCUUACCAUCCGCAGACUGAUGGUCAGAGUGAAAGAACAAUACAAACACUUGAAGAUAUGCUGAGAGCAUGUACCUUGGAAUUCCUAGGUAAUUGGGAUGAACAUUUACCGUUGGUAGAAUUUUCCUAUAAUAAUAGUUUUCACUCGAGCAUUAAGAUGGCACCUUAUCAAGCUUUGUAUGGACAGAAGUGUCGUACGCCGUCUUGUUGGCUUGAGGCUGGGGAAAAGCAGUUUAUGGGACCGGAGAUGGUUCAUCAAACUGCUGAAAAGUUGAAAAUAAUUAGGGAAAGAAUGUUAGCAGCUCAAGAUCGUCAAAAGAGCUAUGCUGACAAGAAGCGAAGACCGAUGACUUUUGAGGUUGGAGAUUCGGUUUUGCUUAAAGUCUCGCCGUGGAAGGGACUUAUAAGAUUUGGUAAAAGGGGAAAGUUGAGUCCAAGGUUUAUUGGACCGUUUAAAGUCCUUCAGAGGAUUGGGAAUCAAGCUUACAAGCUCGAAUUACCCGAAGAACUGAAUGGAAUUCACAACACCUUUCAUGUGUGUUAUUUGAGGAAGUUCACGGGAGAAGUUCCCGAUAUAAUUCCAAUUUCUGAAUUGAGAAUUGAUGAGAACAAAAGGUUGAUUGAAGAACCAGAGGCAAUUGUUGACCGAAAGACUAAGAAGUUGCGACGCAAAAUGGUUGGGUUAGUGCUUGUCCGAUGGAAACACACGAAUGGGCCGAAUCUCACCUGGGAGACGGAGAGUGACAUGUUGAGUCGCUAUCCGCAUUUGUUUGUUGAUGUGUGAUUCCGGGGACGGAAUCAUUCUAAGGUGGAGAGAAUUGUAACGCCUGUGUUUCCGGGCUUGCCAUUUUUAGCAAUGUAAUAGUCUAGGUUAACCUUUGUAACCCGUUUUGAAAUAAUAAGAUUGUAUUAUUUGAGUAUUAUGUGUUUUGUGCUUAAUUGCUUAAUUAUGUGGUUUGAUUAAUUAAGAAUAAAAAUAAGCGUCAAAAUUUAAGUGUAAAAUAAACUUAAUAUCUUUGGUUAAUGUUGUAGUAGUUGAAACGAGGUUUCCGAAUAUAUAUAGAACGCCCAAAUCUGACUUCGUAUGAGGAAGUUAUGAUUUAUCGAAGUUCCGGCUUAGCGAUAUACAGCCUGUUUUACUCGAUUUGAGAUCGAGCGGUUGUUAGCCGAAGCAAUCUAAAUGAGAAUCGAAGAUCUCAUUGUUGGUAUUGAAACGAUAAAAAGUUAGGCGAGAACGGACGUCAAACGAAGAAGUUAUGAAUUUAUAACGAAAGUUUCUGUCCCGGCCUAUUAAAAAUAAUUAAUAAAAAUAAAGUCAAAAUUAGCCGACGGAGUCUAAACGAAAGUCGUAGAGCGUGGUCUCACCUUCGCGUGGAUA
RNAcentral lists this long non-coding RNA (8234 nucleotides) under Lactuca sativa (garden lettuce). Its description in RNAcentral is "long non-coding RNA (LSAT_LNC006387)". Lineage: Eukaryota; Viridiplantae; Streptophyta; Magnoliopsida; Asterales; Asteraceae. The record is from RNAcentral.